GAUGAACGCUGGCGGCGUGCCUAAUACAUGCAAGUCGAGCGAAUGGAUUGGGAGCUUGCUCUUAUGAAGUUAGCGGCGGACGGGUGAGUAACACGUGGGUAACCUGCCCAUAAGACUGGGAUAACUCCGGGAAACCGGGGCUAAUACCGGAUAACAUUUUGAACCGCAUGGUUCGAAAUUGAAAGGCGGCCUCGGCUGUCACUUAUGGAUGGACCCGCGUCGCAUUAGCUAGUUGGUGAGGUAACGGCUCACCAAGGCAACGAUGCGUAGCCGACCUGAGAGGGUGAUCGGCCACACUGGGACUGAGACACGGCCCAGACUCCUACGGGAGGCAGCAGUAGGGAAUCUUCCGCAAUGGACGAAAGUCUGACGGAGCAACGCCGCGUGAGUGAUGAAGGCUUUCGGGUCGUAAAACUCUGUUGUUAGGGAAGAACAAGUGCUAGUUGAAUAAGCUGGCACCUUGACGGUACCUAACCAGAAAGCCACGGCUAACUACGUGCCAGCCGCCGCUGUAA
This 515-nucleotide ribosomal RNA is filed under the name uncultured bacterium. RNAcentral describes it as "partial 16S ribosomal RNA". It matches the Rfam family "Bacterial small subunit ribosomal RNA", at positions 28 to 523 of the family's 1533-position model. The record is from RNAcentral.